Molecule: ribosomal RNA, 253 nt
Filed under: uncultured bacterium
Lineage: Bacteria
Description: partial 16S ribosomal RNA
Rfam family: Bacterial small subunit ribosomal RNA
Source: RNAcentral
UACGUAGGGGGCAAGCGUUGUCCGGAUUUAUUGGGCGUAAAGAGCGUGUAGGCGGCCAGGUAGGUCUGGUGUGAAAACUCGAGGCUCAACCUCGAGAGGUCAUCGGAAACCAUUUGGCUAGAGUCCGGAAGAGGAGAGUGGAAUUCCCGGUGUAGCGGUGAAAUGCGCAGAUAUCGGGAAGAACACCUAUGGCGAAGGCAGCUCUCUGGGACGGUACUGACGCUGAGGAGCGAAAGCGUGGGGAGCGAACAGG